CGCCGCGCUCCUGCAUCUGUUGUGAUUCGACUGAAGAAGGGUUUGUGUUUAAAGCAUCUUUAAACACCGUACAAUCAACUCGAAAGUUCUUCUCAUCUUAAUCAGGACAGAGUGUCCAAAUACAGAGAAACUCCCGCUGAAGCGACUGAGAGCCUCGGCACACACUUAUAAAGAUGGCGUUUAUUAAAGAGGAGACUGAAGACUUCAGGAUUGAAGAAGUGUUCAGUCUGAAACAAGACACCACCGAGGAACAAACAGGUUGGUUUCGCUCUGAGAUGAAUGAUAUUUAUACGAGUGUCCUAAUUAAAGUGACAUAGAGCGAGUCGACCCAUGUGGACAGACAUGUUGAGAUCACCUGACAGGCAAAUAAAACUAACUUUAUAACAAACUUAUUUUUAAUCAAACGGUUUGAAUGUUUGUGAUUGACAAGCAGUUCAAAUCAAAGUCUCAAACUGAAGAAAACAUCUGUCGUGAUCUUCUGUCAAGCUCAGGUGUAAAUGUAGCAUCAUAAGUUGAUCUAGGAUGGGGGUUUCUUCUCCUGGGGCCUGAUGAAUAAAAGUUGUGCAUGCACAAAAUGGGCUUAUCAGGAAUUAUUAAAAAUAAAAUGGGCAUAAAUAUGUGCACACCGAACAAACACUAGACAGUGCGUACGCUGAUAAUUACAAAAGCAGAAUUUAUGUUCUGAGGAAAUAUUUUCAUGCGAAUAAUUAUCAAUGAUGCGCUCUUGACUCUAAGCAGAUGGCUUAGCAACAUAGAUGUUGUAAUGACAGACGCUGAAGGACUCGCUCGGUGACGGAAUGGUCCAUUGAUUGGUUUGAAUAAGAAGCUCACACACUACUGUAUAAGAAGUACACAGUACUGUACAAUAGGGCUGUGCAAUUAAUCGAAUUUCAAUUUCGAUUUUGGGUCUCAACGAUCACAAAAAUUGUGUAAUCGAGAAAAAAACUUUUAUUCAGUUUUUCUAGUUAUUUUGGCCUGCGUUCCUAAUAACGCGCAUCCGCACUUUCGCCCCUCCCGAAGCUCGAACUCUCUCAGCCUAUACUGUCGGCGAAACAAGUCGCGUAUGUGGUAUCUGGUCGCAUUUACAAAUCAGCGCGAGUGAAGAUGGCAGAACGAGAGCAGCCACAGAAAUCUUUGGUCAACAAAAGAGGUAAAAGCAAUUCCGUUGUUUGGGAACAGUUUGGAUUCGAAGAAGCGGACGUGGAUCAAAAACAUAUUAAGUGCAAGAUUUGCUACGCGGUGGUGUCAGCACCGCUUGGUAACACCACAAAUCUUUUUAACCAUCUAAAAUUUAAACACAGACCGACAUAUGACCAACUAAUAAUAAAGAAACAGAAAGAACAACGAACAACCCCCACGACGUCCUCCACAACACAGUCAUCCAUUAAAGACUGACUCUUCAGUGCAACUCCUUAUCCAUCCAGCUCAGAAAAGCACAAAAAAUAACAGAUGCCGUUGCAUACUUAGCCAAAGACAUGUGCCCCAUUAGCACGGUUGAGAACGAAGGAUUCCAAAAAAUGAUAAAAACUCUGGACAAGUGUUAUGCUUUGCCAUCUCGACACCAUUUCACGAGAGUUGCACUGCCUGCUUUAGCCACUUCUGCACAGCAUUUUUCAUUUAAUGAAGUGUCAAAAGCAGAGUACUUCGUCACCACAACAGACCUAUGGUCUAGCCGUACAAUGGAGCCAUACAUUAGCUUAACAAUACACUUCAUCGGCACCAAUUUCAAUUUGAAUACGAAAUGUCUCCAAACUGCGUUUAUUCCUGAAGACCAUACCGGGCAAAACAUAGCCCAUGGACUCAGGGAAGCUAUGGCUGCAUGGGGUUUAAACAAGGAAAAUCUCACCUGCAUCACAACAUAAAGCCGGCAGCUGAGGUAAAUGGAUGGAUGAGGCUUCAGUGUUUCGGGCACAGACUCCACUUGGCCAUAGGUAAGUAGGAAACCUUCAUACAGAUUAUAUGUAAUGUGGUGAUUUAAUUGUACUAUCACACUAACCUUUUACUAUUAUUAUUAUUAUUAUUAUUACCACUUGAACUACUCUUUGAUGCCUUCUUACUCCGUCUUAACAAAUGUUGCUUUGAUGAGGGUGGCAAUGAUCAUAUAGUUGACUAAAUAGUAUUUAUUGUAAUCUUAGAGAACGCAAUGAAGGAUCCUAGGAUCGACCGUGUAAUGGGGGUCUGCAAGAAGUUGGAAAAAAAAGAGGGAACUUGCAGAGGCACAAAAGCAGCUGAAGACUCCCUUAAAACAGAAUGCCCAACCAGAUGGGGAUCUAGGCAGGCCAUGUUAGACAGAGUCCUUGAGCAGCAUAAGGCCAUUGCCCAGGUCCUUUCUAGCGACUGAAAACUCAGACAUCUCACCCUCUCUUGGCAGGACAUUGACGUACUGGAGGCCAUCAAUAAGUCUCUUAGCCCCCUUGUUGAAUUCAGUGACGCACUUUCUGGAGAGAAAUACAUAAGUGUGUCUUUUCUGAAACCAACCUUCCACCUCUUUAGAAAUUCAAUAUUGGAAGUGCAGGACGAUGACACAGACCUUGCCAAAAGCAUCAAACAGAAAUACCUCAUUGACAAAUACAGCAACACAAGAGUUACUCGACAUGGCCUCUGCCCUGGACCCAAGGUUCAAGCUUAAAUAUGUCAACAAAGGCAACCGAGGGUCUAUUGAAGACAGACUGACAGCAGAGAUGAAGAGUGUGAUGACUGACAUGGUGGAGAACGUCCCUCUUGAGACAGAGGAUGCUGCUACUGCUCCAAUGAAGAAGAAGAAGAAGAAGAAGAAGAAGGGCCUGGGCAGUUCUUCAAAGUCACCACAGACAAAGCUGCUGGACCUCCUCUGCAACAGGACCAGGCCAUAACUGUUGAGCUACAGUCGUACCUGCAGACAGAGACACUGGAUGCUGAGGAAGACCCACUGAAGUGGUGGAGGGAAUCUCAGAGGAUCUACCCACGGCUUUCCAACCUGGCAAGGAAAUAUCUUUGUAUUCCAGCCACAAGUUCUUCAUCAGAGCAAGUCUUUAGCACUGGUGGAAAUAUUGUCUCCUGCUUGCGUUCAUCACUGAAACCAGAUCAUGUGAAUAGGCUGGUGUUUCUGGCUAAAAACCUUUAAGGCUUAGAUGUGUAACCCUAUCAGCAUUUUGGCCACGUUGGCCUGAAACAUAUUUACUUAGUCUAAAGUUGAAGUUAAACUUAUUUUCUGUUAGUUCUAAGCCAUGGUGGGCCAGCCUUAAAAUAUUAUUGGACUGAGACGAGUUACUGACUGGAAUGUGAUUGUUUAAAAUGUAGAAUGCUGUAAAAUGUUGUUUAAA
Molecule: long non-coding RNA, 3302 nt
Organism: Sinocyclocheilus grahami
Lineage: Eukaryota; Metazoa; Chordata; Actinopteri; Cypriniformes; Cyprinidae
Exons: 3
Source: RefSeq, a predicted model, not a curated record